CCUGCACCUGCCGGCGACCGGCGCACGGGUGAGUAACACGUAUGGAACCUGCCCGCCACAGGGGGAUAACCCGGGGAGACCCGGCCUAAUACCCCAUGCCGCCCGGACCGGGCAUCCGGUCCGGGCGAAAGGAGGAAUCCGGUGGCGGCUGGGCAUGCGGCGCAUUAGCUUGACGGCGGGGUAACGGCCCACCGUGGCGACGAUGCGUAGGGGUUCUGAGAGGAAGGCCCCCCACACUGGAACUGAGACACGGUCCAAACUCCUACGGAAGGCAGCAG
This 278-nucleotide ribosomal RNA is filed under the name uncultured bacterium. RNAcentral describes it as "partial 16S ribosomal RNA". It matches the Rfam family "Bacterial small subunit ribosomal RNA", at positions 74 to 354 of the family's 1533-position model. The record is from RNAcentral.